UAUUUUACUUCAACUGCCGGUCCAUCUGCCGGGCUUAUGGGGGUCCGUGCAGGUGGUUUCUUUUAUUGUGCACGAGCGUACCCGUCGGGUUUAUGGGAGCCCGGCGGAGUUAGUUAGAUUGCUUGUCUUUGUUGCCUGUACGCUCGUGUACAUACCCCCUAUUUACUACUCUUUGCACUUGAUGUGACCCUUUAUUUGCAUUUCAGUUUACUUUUGCUUAUCUUGCUCAGUCGGCCGAUGAUGCCUACUGGGUACCUGUUGUUUUGGUACUCAUGCUACGCUCUGCAUCUAUUUUGUGAUGCAGGUCCGAGCACUAGUAGCCAGCGUUGAUCUAGCCUGGAGUAGACUUAUCCGGAGACGGGGGUGAGCACAUGGCGUUUUGUACUAUUUCAGUCUCCAUCUGUAUAUAUAGACUUGUCUUUUUCCUUUCGAGACAGUCCAGUCUCUGUUGUCCAGUUUUGGGACUUGUACUCAUUUUGUAGUAGCUCUGUACUGGUGACUUCCAGGUUCUGGGAGGGAUCUUUAUUUGUAUAUAUGUUUUGGGUUGCUUUUGCCUGGUUAUAUUGUUAU
This 570-nucleotide long non-coding RNA is filed under the name Solanum tuberosum (potato). Its description in RNAcentral is "long non-coding RNA (STUB_LNC008799)". The record is from RNAcentral. Lineage: Eukaryota; Viridiplantae; Streptophyta; Magnoliopsida; Solanales; Solanaceae.